AGAAUCAACGCUGGCGGCGUGCCUAACACAUGCAAGUCGAACGCGAAAGUGGAGCAAUCCAUGAGUAGAGUGGCAAACGGGUGAGUAACACGUGGGUGACCUGCCUUCGAGCGGGGGAUAACGUCCCGAAAGGGACGCUAAUACCGCAUAACAUCCUGCCUUUUAAGAGGUGGAGAUCAAAGCCGGGGAUCGCAAGACCUGGCACUUGAAGAGGGGCCCGCGCCUGAUUAGCUAGUUGGUGGGUAAGUGGCUCACCAAGGCAACGAUCA
Molecule: ribosomal RNA, 269 nt
Filed under: uncultured bacterium
Lineage: Bacteria
Description: partial small subunit ribosomal RNA
Rfam family: Bacterial small subunit ribosomal RNA
Source: RNAcentral